RNAcentral lists this long non-coding RNA (3811 nucleotides) under Mytilus galloprovincialis (Mediterranean mussel). The record is from RNAcentral. Lineage: Eukaryota; Metazoa; Mollusca; Bivalvia; Mytilida; Mytilidae.
AGUAAAUAGGAUCGAAAGGAUGUAAAGGUUAAUGAGAUAUCUUAACUGUUCAUAAUCAGCAAUAUAUGUUUAGUUCUGUUUUGUGUAUUUUUUUUUUCAAAUAUUAAAAUUUCGACCAGUACAAGCAGCCAUGCAUGCAAGUGCCUAUGUCAUGCAUGACGGCUGCUUUUGUUUAGAUGGAAGUUGCACAGCGCAUCCUUCCUUGACAACCGGACGUUAGCAGAACCAAUCCACAAUUACAACCAUUGACAACGUCAAUAGUUAUUGCUGAGCGCGAAGGAAAAAAUGUGUUCCAAAGUAACCUGUGAAAAAUGCAACAAGCCAACCUGGUCAGGUAAGUAAUGUAAUAAACUACCAAUACUGAUUGAAUACUUUACACUUGGGUUCUGUUCUAGAGGAAUUUGAAGCAAUGUUAUAUGCAAUCUUCGUUAGUUUUUUUUAACGACGUCUCUGAGACAGAAAUCCAACGACAAAAAAAUAACAACUGAUGAGGUUCGUUACUUCUGAUGAAUACAUUUAGUAUAUCGGAGUAAUUUUAUUUUCUAGAUAUUAUUUAGAAUUUGUUAUAUGACUCUUAUUUUCCAAAUACAUUGGCCUGUAUUGAGUAUGCAUUUUAUUCCGAUUUUCUACAUUUUGCAAAAAUCCAUGUUUUUAAAAGACAAACGUAUUUUAAAAUCAACACCCAAACUGUAUAGUCAGCUAUAAGAGGUCCAAAAUGUCAAAUGUACGACAAUUAAGACAAGAAAAGUAACGGCCUAGUUUGUGUACGCAUCAAUAAACGCAAAACAAAUAUGAUUUACAUCGGCAAACGAAAAUCAUUAAAUUACAGGCUGAUUUGGGAUAGAUACAGGGUUAAACCAUUUUGCGGGUACGCGAAAACUCAGCAUAAUCUAGGAUACAAUAUAAGAACAAAGUUGAACUAUAAAAAAUCAGUUAAUAUGCCUUACUCAUUAUAUUAUAUGUAUUUUUCUGUAGAAACCGUACUAUUUUUAUUUUUCUGAAUAUCAAUCAACAUUCAUCAUGGUUACAAUGUAUUACUGCAUGUGAUACCCAAGUUUUAUGACAUUUUUCCCUGGUUUAUUUUUUGUUUUUGUUUUUAAUCAAAUGGGAUAUUUUUUCAGGUUGUGGAAAACAUAUUGAACAGGCUUUGAAGGAUGUUCCACCAGAAGAAAGAUGUAAAUGCCCAAGAGAGUCAAAAUAAUGGUGAGGGUUGUGUUUUAUUUUCUACAACCACACGUCUUAUUUCGGAAUAUUUCAAUAUGUUAUUCAGUUUAUUGAAAAAGCACCAUGCUAAUGUUACACGGAAUAAAGAAAAUGUAAUUGUUGUGUAUAAAUACGUGCAUGGAAAAAAUGAACUCGUUUAUAAGAUAACUACGUCUGAGUAAAAUUGUGCUUGAUGCUCGGCAAUUGAGUACUGCGAAAAUACGCGCUUAAAGGUCUACAAAUGUAAAAAGAAUUUCGAAUUCGAAUUAAGGGUUUAUACUCCAGGAAAAGAAUAAAAUAACAAUUAGAAAUUGGGUUUGAUAUUGAUAAAAACGCAAUUUAUCGUAAACGUCUUUGAGACAGAAAUCCAACGACAAAACAAUAACAACUGAAGAGAUUCGUAACUUCUGAUGAAUACUAUAGGAUCUUUUAAUUCUAUAGUAUUCAUUAAAAUAGGAGAUAGGGAAUAUAUUUCUCCACACUCGUUACCUCUAUCACACGUAAAUUGUAUAUUUAUGUCAUUGAAUGGGCCUUGCGCAUGCAUAUAUUUGUUAGUUAACACAGAAAUAUGUUCUCAAUGAAAUUUGAUAUCUGAUAAAAAAAAAUAAACUUCAAAAACUCCUAUCAUCAUUCAAACGAAUGUUUUUGUUUUUAUUAUUUAUUUUAACGAUUAACGUGCAAUGAAAACAAAUUUUGUUAACGUCGUUGUUAUCAUCGCCGCCAUCUUCUUAACAUUGGUUACGAAAGGAAGUUGUGUCAACGUCGUCUAUCGAAAAAUAACCAACUUCAUGAUCAACGACCGGAAGUCCUCUCGACCAAUCAUAUCAACGUAUUCCCUAAUAUGCAAAUCAUAUAAGAAUUAUAUCUUAGUAUAUUUGAGUAAUUUUAUUUUCUAGAUAUUAUCCGUCCCAUCUUUAUAAUUCUUUUAAACAAUUUCCAUAUGAAUAGAUAUUUGAAUGUGAUUAGUACAUUAGAAUUGUUUUCCUUGGUUUAUUCUUUGUUUGAUCAUAUUCGUGAAACUAAUUUGGCAACCUAUGUAAAAAAAAUAUGUCGAAUUAUUUGUGAUACAUUUUGUAUUUAUUCAUUCGCGAGACAUGUGGAUAAGAAUAAUUGGGUAGAGAAUUUUAAGGAUUAGACACAUUUUUUAGAAUUUAUUGACAUAUAAAUUAGGCCGCUGAAUCAGGAACUUGUCACCAUGCCUAUUUAGUUAGUUGGUUAAUCGGACAACACAUGAGUCAACAAGCGAGACAUAGGUAUGGUCUUUUCGGCGUCGGCGGCGACGUCGGCGUCAACAAUGUAUUAGUUUGUGACCAGGUCUAGUUUAUGGUGAAUCACUAGUAGUAAGUCAAAGAUAUAUGGUAUGCAGUUGUAUAAGUAUUGGCACAUCUCAUUACCAUGGAGAUUAUUUGACCUCGCUCCCUCAGUUUUGGUCUAUUGACUUUGAAACUUUUGCUUAGUUUUCAUGUAGUAGUUUGUGAAAAGGUCAGUGUAUGGGAAACCACUAUUGAUAAAGUAAGGAUAACCGGUCUGCAGUUGUAUAAGCAUCAUCAUAUCUUAUUUCCAUGGAGAUUAUUUGACCCCGCCCCCUCAUUCAGGGUCUAUUGACUUUGAAAUUUUUGCUUAGUUUUAAUGUAUUAGUUUGUGCUUAGGUCAUUUUACAGGGAACCCCUAGUCGAAGGUUAAUGAUAAUUGGUAUGCAGUUGUAUAAGCAUUGGCAUACCUCAUUUCCAUGGAGAUUAUUUGGCCCCGCCCCUUCAGUCAUGGACUUUGAAACGUUUGCUUAGUUUUCAUGUAGGUCAGUUUAUGGGGAGCCCAUAGUGGUAGGUCAAUGAUACUUUGUAGGCAGUUGAAUUAAUAUUGGCACAUCUCAUUACCAUUUGAAUAUUUGCUAAACUAAUUAUAUGUUAAAGUGUUGCUAUUUUUUAUUUCAACAUUUGCAUUAUCGACAUUACAAAAAAGCGAGACAUAUCUCUGUUUAUAACAGUUUAUUUUAUAUAAAUAAGGCCGUUAGUUUUCUCGUUUGAAUUGUUUUACAGUGCCAUAUCGGUGCCUUUUAUAACUGACUGUGCGGUAUGGGCUUUGCUCAUUGUUGAAGGCCGUACGGUGACCUAUAGUUGUUUUAAUGUCUGUGUCAUUUUGGUCGUUUGUGGACAGUUGUCUCAUUGGAAAUCAUACCACAUCUUCUUUUUUUAUAUAUUCGACCGCUAUAUGCAAUCCCGAGGUCCAACUGAAAGUUAAAUUCAAUAGACUAAUAAAAGAAUUAAGAUUUUUAAUAUUACGAAUUGUGAAAGGAAAAACACGCAUGGCGAACAUCAGUCAACUUAAAUUAACAAAAAAAUACAAAUACACAUAUUAUACAUAAGUAAAACAAUAUUUUUAUAAUUCUGAUUCUGUAUAAAGAACGCUUAUGAUUACUAAACAUAAAUUUAUAUUUUCAGUAGAAAAAAAUAUCAGUCGAACGCAUUUUUUCUUAUAAUUUCAGGAAACUUUUGGCGGAAUAACGUUGGUUGCUAGGGAACUGGAAGCAAGAGAUCAUAGUUAUUUUGUAUGUAAACCUAUGUUUUUAUUGUUAUAUUCAAUAAUAAACAUAAUACGUUGUUAUUAAUAU